This is a long non-coding RNA of Micropterus dolomieu (smallmouth bass), 550 nucleotides long. RefSeq lists it as uncharacterized. The transcript is spliced from 2 exons. NCBI's taxonomy places the organism in Eukaryota, Metazoa, Chordata, Actinopteri, Centrarchiformes, Centrarchidae. The record is from RefSeq and is a predicted model, not a curated record.
AAAUACAGUAUUUCUCUGAGAUGUAGUGGUGUAGCAUGAAAAGAGAAGACUCAAGGAAAGUACAAUUCCUUUAAAUUUGUACUAGUUCUUGAGUAAAUGUACUUAGUUACAUCCUAUGUGAAGCCGUGACAUUGCUUUUUGUGGGGGUUCAGUUAUUUUGGAGGUGGAGGAGGAACAUGCUCUGCUGGAGGUUUUGAUGCUCUCACCUGCAUCCAGCAGCUUCUUCACCACCUGAAAGUUGGAGUGCGACACGCUGUAGUGCAGCGCCGUGUUGCCGUUGCCGUCAGCCAUGUUGACGACGUGGCGCAGCACGGCCGGCGAGAUGGCCCCGAAGGCCACCAGGUAGUCCUCCACCAUGCCCGCCACCGCCGCCUUCUGGCUGGACACGCGGAACCACUCGUGCUGCACCGUGUUCAGGCAGGCUCUCUGAGGAGGCAGGAGAGGGACUCGUUACUGACAGUAUCUGUGUGUGUAGGCACUGUGCACAAACCAAAAAACUAACAAGUCCAUGCUCAUACAUGCUGAUUAAACUAAAUAUUACACAUUUAAA